UACGGAGGGUGCAAACGUUGCUCGGAAUCAUUGGGCGUAAAGCGCACGUAGGUGGCUUGUUAAGUCGGGUGUGAAAUCCCUGGGCUCAACCCAGGAAGUGCACUCGAAACUGGCGAGCUUGAGUACUGAAGAGGGUCGCGGAAUUCCCGGUGUAGAGGUGAAAUUCGUAGAUAUCGGGAGGAACACCAGUGGCGAAGGCG
RNAcentral lists this ribosomal RNA (200 nucleotides) under uncultured prokaryote. RNAcentral's name for it is "partial 16S ribosomal RNA". It matches the Rfam family "Bacterial small subunit ribosomal RNA", at positions 524 to 723 of the family's 1533-position model. The record is from RNAcentral.